UGAGGAAUAUUGGUCAAUGGACGCAAGUCUGAACCAGCCAAGUAGCGUGCAGGAUGACGGCCCUAUGGGUUGUAAACUGCUUUUAUAUGGGGAUAAAGUGGGGAACGUGUUCCCUUUUGCAGGUACCAUAUGAAUAAGGACCGGCUAAUUCCGUGCCAGCAGCCGCGGUAAUACGGAAGGUUCGGGCGUUAUCCGGAUUUAUUGGGUUUAAAGGGAGCGUAGGCCGUUUGGUAAGCGUGUUGUGAAAUGUAGGAGCUCAACUUCUAGAUUGCAGCGCGAACUGUCAGACUUGAGUGCGCACAACGUAGGCGGAAUUCAUGGUGUAGCGGUGAAAUGCUUAGAUAUCAUGAAGAACUCCGAUUGCGCAGGCAGCUUACUGUAGCAUAACUGACGCUGAUGCUCGAAAGUGCGGGUAUCAAACAGG
RNAcentral lists this ribosomal RNA (424 nucleotides) under Verrucomicrobiota bacterium. RNAcentral describes it as "Verrucomicrobia bacterium partial 16S ribosomal RNA". It matches the Rfam family "Bacterial small subunit ribosomal RNA", at positions 355 to 776 of the family's 1533-position model. Lineage: Bacteria; Pseudomonadati; Verrucomicrobiota. The record is from RNAcentral.